UGGCCCUGGAUUGCACAGUCGGAACCUCACUUAACCCUCCCUCUGGAUUCAGAUCAGCACACACCAGAGACUCGGCUGGCUCCGAAAGGUUCCAGACAGAGGGGCUAAACACAUUAGCCGACAGACUCGCAAGACACAAAAGGCGGCAGGAAUCAAAUAAAAGGAAAACGCAGCAGUCACAGGCGGAGAGACUGGGAGGGAAAAGAAUAAAGCAAACUAGAAGAAAAGA
Molecule: long non-coding RNA, 229 nt
Filed under: Bos indicus x Bos taurus (hybrid cattle)
Lineage: Eukaryota; Metazoa; Chordata; Mammalia; Artiodactyla; Bovidae
Description: lncRNA (ENSBIXG00005024939.1)
Source: RNAcentral